ACUGUUUUAUAUUCAGAUUGUUUGCAAAGCAAACACUGAUUUCCUUGGUCAAAGUAAAGAAUUGCUGUGUGUAGUCUUUGCCCAUCCCAUGUGAUGGGCUUUUUUUUGC
Erwinia tracheiphila is the source of this 109-nucleotide non-coding RNA. The record is from Rfam. Lineage: Bacteria; Pseudomonadati; Pseudomonadota; Gammaproteobacteria; Enterobacterales; Erwiniaceae.